GUCUCUUUGGUAAUCUUAUCCAUUAUCCACUUUUUUUUCUUAAUUUUUAGUGUUCGUUAUGUUGUUUAGACCUGCAAAGAUUAGAUUGUAAAAUUUGAGUUAGAUUGGACAUUUAGUUUGGGCAAAGUUCCUUCUUUCAAUUUUGAAUUUUACAUUUACUUUUAUUAUUUAUUGUUUUUAUUUAAUUAAUUUUUUUAUGUUUAUUUAAUUAUUUAUGUUUUAUAUUAUUU
RNAcentral lists this unclassified non-coding RNA (230 nucleotides) under Hevea brasiliensis (rubber tree). Lineage: Eukaryota; Viridiplantae; Streptophyta; Magnoliopsida; Malpighiales; Euphorbiaceae. The record is from RNAcentral.